CCUGUGAAAGGCCCAGGAAGAUAAACUUAUUUUAGAAUAAGGAUAUUAUCACUCAAUUCACAGAAGAGGAAAUAGAAGGAGAGAAACAUAGAGUGAUUUUCGUAUCUGGUAAGUAGCAGACACACAAUUUGAACUCAGGAUUUUUAGACUCUAAAUUUUUGAGAGAACCAAAAAAG
Molecule: long non-coding RNA, 176 nt
Filed under: Papio anubis (olive baboon)
Lineage: Eukaryota; Metazoa; Chordata; Mammalia; Primates; Cercopithecidae
Description: lncRNA (ENSPANG00000043292.1)
Source: RNAcentral